Molecule: ribosomal RNA, 468 nt
Filed under: uncultured bacterium
Lineage: Bacteria
Description: partial 16S ribosomal RNA
Rfam family: Bacterial small subunit ribosomal RNA
Source: RNAcentral
GAUGAACGCUGGCGGCGUGCCUAACACAUGCAAGUCGAACGGAAAGGCCCUGCUCUUGUGGGGCUCACGUGUGGCGCACGGGUGAGUAUCACGUGAGUAUCCUGCCCUUGUCUUUGGGAUAACUUCAGGAAACUGCGGCUCUAAUCGGAUAGGAGCUCCUGCUGCAUGGUGGGGGAUGGAAAAUUUCGGCGGUUGGGGAUGGUCUCGCGGCUUAUCAGCUUGUUGGUGGGGUAGUUGCUUACCAAGGCUUUGACGGGUAGCCGGCCUGAGAGGGUGACCGGCGACAAUGGGACUAAGAUACGGACCAGACGGCUACGUGAGGCAGCAGGGGGGAAUCUUACACAAUGAGGGGGAGUCUGAGGCAGAGACGCCGCGUGCGGGAUGACGGCCUUCGGGUUAUAAACCGCUUUCGCCUGAGACGUGGCGUGAGUGACGGUAAUGGGUAAAGAAGCACCGGCUAACUACGUG